UAUUUAAAACAGUUUAACUCUUUGUGUUUUUUUCUCUUUAUAGUGUCUAGGAUCAUAACCACGAGGUAUUCCUUAAAAGGUCCUUGCCUUCCACUGCUCCAACACUUACCUGGAAUAAAGAGUUUCAUUUCUGUUUUUCAGUCUUAAAUGAAUGAUAUUUUUCACUGAGAAGAGAGAUUUAUUUAAAAGGCAGUUUUUUGUCAACAUCAAAUGAUCUUCAGUUUAGAAGAUAUCUUCAGGGUCCUGUAAGUCUUCAGCUCUCUUGUUCCCCUUUCAUGUCAUAAAUAACAUGCU
This 294-nucleotide long non-coding RNA is filed under the name Numida meleagris (helmeted guineafowl). Its description in RNAcentral is "lncRNA (ENSNMEG00000006779.1)". Lineage: Eukaryota; Metazoa; Chordata; Aves; Galliformes; Numididae. The record is from RNAcentral.